Molecule: ribosomal RNA, 332 nt
Filed under: uncultured bacterium
Lineage: Bacteria
Description: bacterial SSU rRNA
Rfam family: Bacterial small subunit ribosomal RNA
Source: RNAcentral
GAUGAACGCUAGCUACAGGCUUAACACAUGCAAGUCGAGGGGCAGCGGGUAUUGAAGCUUGCUUCAAUUGCCGGCGAACCGGCGCACGGGUGAGUAACGCGUAUCCAACCUUCCGUACACUCAGGGAUAGCCUUUCGAAAGAAAGAUUAAUACCUGAUGGUAUCUUAAGCACACAUGUAAUUAAGAUUAAAGAGUUUAUCGGUGUACGAUGGGGAUGCGUUCCAUUAGGUAGUAGGCGGGGUAACGGCCCACCUAGCCAACGAUGGAUAGGGGUUCUGAGAGGAAGGUCCCCCCANAUUGGAACUGAGACACGGUCCAAACUCCUAACGGGA